This 497-nucleotide ribosomal RNA is filed under the name uncultured bacterium. Its description in RNAcentral is "partial 16S ribosomal RNA". It matches the Rfam family "Bacterial small subunit ribosomal RNA", at positions 28 to 507 of the family's 1533-position model. The record is from RNAcentral.
GAUGAACGCUGGCGGCGUGCCUAAUACAUGCCAGUCGAGCGAACGGACGAGAAGCUUGCUUCUCUGAUGUUAGCGGCGGACGGGUGAGUAACACGUGGAUAACCUACCUAUAAGACUGGGAUAACUUCGGGAAACCGGAGCUAAUACCGGAUGAUAUUUUGAACCGCAUGGUUCAAAAGUGAAAGACGGUCUUGCUGUCACUUAUAGAUGGAUCCGCGCUGCAUUAGCUAGUUGGUAAGGUAACGGCUUACCAAGGCAACGAUGCAUAGCCGACCUGAGAGGGUGAUCGGCCACACUGGAACUGAGACACGGUCCAGACUCCUACGGGAGGCAGCAGUAGGGAAUCUUCCGCAAUGGGCGAAAGCCUGACGGAGCAACGCCGCGUGAGUGAUGAAGGUCUUCGGAUCGUAAAACUCUGUUAUUAGGGAAGAACGUAUGUGUAAGUAACUGUGCACAUCUUGACGGUACCUAAUCAGAAAGCCACGGCUAACUACGUG